GAAAACCUGAGUUUGAUCCCUCAGAGCC
This 28-nucleotide non-coding RNA is filed under the name Rattus norvegicus (Norway rat). The record is from RNAcentral. Lineage: Eukaryota; Metazoa; Chordata; Mammalia; Rodentia; Muridae.